Physella acuta is the source of this 648-nucleotide long non-coding RNA. RefSeq lists it as uncharacterized. The record is from RefSeq and is a predicted model, not a curated record. Lineage: Eukaryota; Metazoa; Mollusca; Gastropoda; Physidae.
GUUUACGGAUCUUAUGAAAAGAGCUAUGGAAAAUAUCCCGGACUCUAUCCACCUUAUUUAGCAAGUUUAGCAACUAGCAAUAUAUUUGACGCUUCACUCAAACCAGAUGGCUGGGAUCCGAUUUACGUCCAUAAUCACAAAAAUCGUCAAGUUCGGAUAGGGAUUAGAUCAACGACAAAUGGAAACAAUCAACUCGACCCAGGAACUAAUAUGGUUGGGAUAGCAACUCUAUUUGCUAUCCUCCUGGUCAAGAGCAUGCUUAAUGAACAAGGAUUCCAAUAAAAGAAAAGAUAAAGGAACUUGCUUGAUUUUGUGAUGGAACAAAAUAAGAAGUCACACAACUCGGCCACAUUUAUCCUACCCAUCUUAGCUGAUACCUAAUGUUUAAAGUUAAAUUUUAGUUUAAAAUUACCGCAUCAGGUAAAACUAUUCAUGUUAGUCUUUUCAUUAGUCAUCUAAAACAUUUAAAACGUAUACAUAAUUUUAUAAAAGACAUUGUAGGAUAUUAUUAUUAUCUAAAUGCUGUUAACUCGUUUAAUGGUUCAACCUUUUGUUAAAAUAUCUUUUGCUUGCUGUAAUAAUUCAAGUAUAUGAAUUACCAUUUAACAUCAGUUUAAGUAAAAAUAACGUAAAAUAAAUAUUUGCAUA